This 47-nucleotide ribosomal RNA is filed under the name Parrotiopsis jacquemontiana. Its description in RNAcentral is "partial 18S ribosomal RNA". The record is from RNAcentral. Lineage: Eukaryota; Viridiplantae; Streptophyta; Magnoliopsida; Saxifragales; Hamamelidaceae.
AUAAAGUCGUAACAAGUUUCCGUAGUUGACCUGCGGAAGGAUCAUUG